CACCUACAAUAUGUGUUUUCAAGGUUUAAGUGAGAAGAUUUUCAGACUAUCGUAGGUGCAAAUUGGAUAUCCUUCUCUAAGGCAAAUAUUUGAAGAUAGUAUAUACGUUAUUGCAUUUAUGACUUUUGAGUUACAUUGUUGCAGAUAAAUAGUUUAUAAUGCCAUCUUCCAGACUCAUCAUUAGGCCAUCAUCUCCCGGAAUAAAUUUAUUCCACCUACAAUAUGUGUCUUCAAGGUUAACUGAGAAGAUUUUCAGACUAUCGUAGGUCCAAAUUGGAUAUCCUUCUCUAAGGCAAAUAUUUGAAAAUAUGCCGACAUUGUUACCAACAUCCAGAGACGG
This 340-nucleotide long non-coding RNA is filed under the name Nicotiana tabacum (common tobacco). RNAcentral describes it as "long non-coding RNA (NTAB_LNC000466)". Lineage: Eukaryota; Viridiplantae; Streptophyta; Magnoliopsida; Solanales; Solanaceae. The record is from RNAcentral.